Molecule: non-coding RNA, 288 nt
Organism: Pelobates cultripes (western spadefoot toad)
Lineage: Eukaryota; Metazoa; Chordata; Amphibia; Anura; Pelobatidae
Source: the annotation of a GenBank genome assembly
AGAAAUGUCGAUACAAACAAACAGACCAAUUUAUAUGGGUUAGUGGAUCCUGGAUUGAUGUUUCUCUGUUCUUUCCCAUAUGCAAAACAAAUUUUGGUUCACUGCUAAUGGCAGAUAGGCUCUUACUCUGCUCUAAUGACCCACCAAUCUAUUAAGAUUUUUUUUGCCCUUGCUUUGUCUCUGUAUUUCUACUCCACCUGACAGAAGGCAAAGCCUAUUUGUCAAAACCUGUAGAUGCCAUCAGUGAUGGCUGCAGGGUAUUGGCUGAGUCUAUAGAGGAUCCCACAG